This 437-nucleotide ribosomal RNA is filed under the name uncultured Oscillospiraceae bacterium. RNAcentral describes it as "partial 16S ribosomal RNA". It matches the Rfam family "Bacterial small subunit ribosomal RNA", at positions 341 to 792 of the family's 1533-position model. The record is from RNAcentral. Lineage: Bacteria; Bacillati; Bacillota; Clostridia; Eubacteriales; Oscillospiraceae.
ACGGAAGGCAGCAGUGGGGAAUAUUGGGCAAUGGGCGAAAGCCUGACCCAGCAAUGCCGCGUGAAGGAAGAAGGUCUUCGGAUUGUAAACUUCUUUUAUGAGGGACGAAGGAUUUGACGGUACCUCAUGAAUAAGCCACGGCUAACUACGUGCCAGCAGCCGCGGUAAUACGUAGGUGGCAAGCGUUAUCCGGAUUUACUGGGUGUAAAGGGCGCGUAGGCGGGGAUGCAAGUCAGGUGUGAAAUCUAUGGGCUUAACCCAUAAACUGCAUUUGAAACUGUAUCUCUUGAGUGUCGGAGAGGUAGAUGGAAUUCCUAGUGUAGCGGUGAAAUGCGUAGAUAUUAGGAGGAACACCAGUGGCGAAGGCGAUCUACUGGACGAUAACUGACGCUGAGGCGCGAAAGCGUGGGGAGCAAACAGGAUUAGAUACCCUGGUA